Long non-coding RNA from Choloepus didactylus (southern two-toed sloth), 1598 nucleotides. RefSeq lists it as uncharacterized. The transcript has 2 exons. The record is from RefSeq and is a predicted model, not a curated record. Lineage: Eukaryota; Metazoa; Chordata; Mammalia; Pilosa; Megalonychidae.
AAUUAUUAAGUUCUUAAUUUGAAAAUAAAAUUCAUUUUGUAAAAUGUCAUUUCCAAUAAUCUAAAUAAAAUGCACUUAAAUGCUAUUCCAAACCUCAUCAACUUUACAUUUUAUAGCAAAACAUUAAAAAAAAAUUUACAAAAACAAAAAGGGGGAGAUGAGAGUAUGGAUAAAAUCACUCCUGUGGUCCAUCUCUCCCAUGUUUUGUUUACGUUGAAUUAUUUAAAUUUUUAUGAAAAACUUAAUGGCACUCCUGCAGAAAGACAUUUCUUCAGCCCUCCUACUACAUCCAAAUCUGUUUUUACUGAAAGUCCUCCUGUGUAGUGAAAGGACCCUGUGACAGGGCAGUGGACAAUAGGAAAAUUGUUAACAUGGGGGCGAGGUUUUGCUUGUGUCUCUCCAGGUGAAGAUCAAACUCCUAUUUAGGUGCCUGCAUGACACUUGAAACCGUACCAUAAGUGGGAAAAAGAGAAAGUUCCUGUGGGACAUAGAACCUCCGGUGAUGCAGAUAGAGAGCCUCUACCUGAAAACAACUCGCAUUGGACCGACACCGGCCACCACUAAAGUUUUUCCUCCUACAUAGGGACAAAUUAAAAAUUUGUGCCAACAGGCUGAACGGCUGGUAUGGCAAAAGCACUGGCCGUUCACCCCCUCUAAUCUGGUGAUAGCUUUAUUUGCUAUUAUAACUACUACUGUAAGUAUGCUUCCUUUAGAUGCCCACGCUCAUAAUUAUACUUACUGGGCAUAUGUCCCCAAUCCUCCUCUAUUAUGGCCUGUGGAAUGGAAUGAUCCAACCCCUCUUAUUUAUCUCAGUGAAACAGCAUGGCUUCCUGGCCUGGAGGAUGACAGGCUACCAGAACAUCCUAAAGAGGAAGGCACUCAGUAUAAUUCAACUUCGGCCUUCUUAUUAUUUGCCACUAUAUUUGGGACACGGGAAAGAAUGUUUAUCUUUUGAGCAACAAGCAUGGCUUUCAGUAAUUCCAAAGCACGGAAAUGUCUCUUAUUCUAUGUUAUAUUUGUUGACAGGUCAGAGGUUUGCAUACCAACAUAAUAGUAGUAUGAAUGAUGGAACCCCACAGCGUCCUGUCCGCCAAGCGCCAAAGUAUUGGUCUCCGGACUUAAUGAGAGUACACUGGGAAACUUGUCGAGGGACUAAUGAGUCCUCCGAUGCACGAGACAAGCAGUCUCCAAUUUAACUGAGAAGUCUACAAUUCCUGCCAUCAUAUCUAAAAUAAAAAAAAGGUGGGGGGGGGGACAUGUGGAAAACAGAGCCUGAAAUUUCUCCUCUCCUUCCCGCAUUCUUGAGGUGGGGGCCUGGAACACAGGGCCCCUGCUGAAGAUAGAACACUAUCAAGGCAUGCCUCAUUAAAGUAUCGUGGACAUGAGAAUGCAGCUGGGGAACUGUUUUUCUGUUAUUGUCCUUGAGAAUAAGAUAAGACCUAUUUUGCAGAUAUGAAGUAAACCACCUUGAGAAAAUGUCUACAUGCACUUUAAAGCAUUUCUCUAUCCUAAAAGCAUAAUAAAUGAGAGUCUUGGGAACAGGACAGACACACUCGCCAGCAGGCGGUGUGUCCCCUGCUCCCAGUCUCCAAGAGAUA